GGACCGGUAGCUCAGGUGGUUAGAGCGCACGCCUGAUAAGCGUGAGGUCGGUGGUUCAAGUCCACCUCGGUCCA
Molecule: transfer RNA, 74 nt
Filed under: Gemmatimonadota bacterium
Lineage: Bacteria; Pseudomonadati; Gemmatimonadota
Also listed under: 3 other names
Description: tRNA-Ile
Rfam family: tRNA
About the family: Transfer RNA (tRNA) molecules are approximately 80 nucleotides in length.
Source: RNAcentral